This 321-nucleotide ribosomal RNA is filed under the name uncultured eukaryote. RNAcentral describes it as "partial 18S ribosomal RNA". It matches the Rfam family "Eukaryotic small subunit ribosomal RNA", at positions 1470 to 1796 of the family's 1831-position model. The record is from RNAcentral.
CCCUUAGAUGUUCUGGGCUGCACGCGCGCUACAAUGAUGCACUCAACGAGUCUUUGUCCUUGUCUGAGGAGGCUGGGUACUCUCUUGAGCGUGCAUCGUAACGGGGAUAGACUAUUGUAACUAUUAGUCUUCAACGAGGAAUUCCUUGUAAGCGUGAGUCAUCAGCUCACGCUGAAUACGUCCCUGCCCUUUGUACACACCGCCCGUCGCUCCUACCGAUUGGGUGAUCCGGUGAACUAUUCGGAGCUCCUGUUUGAUUCUAUCAUUCAGAUGGCAAAGUUUCGUGAACCUUAUCACUUAGAGGAAGGAGAANUCGUAACA